GGAAUAAAAGUCGUAACAAGGUCUCCGUUGGUGAACCAGCGGAGGGAUCAUUACCGAGUUUACAACUCCCAAACCCCUAUGUGAACGUUACCAAACUGUUGCCUCGGCGGGAAAUUCAUGCCCCGGGCGCGUCGCAGCCCCGGACCAAGGCGCCCGCCGGAGGACCAACCAAAACUCUUUUGUAUGUCCCUCGCGGACUUUUAUAAUUCUGAACCAUCUCGGCGCCCCUAGCGGGCGUUUCGAAAAUGAAUCAAAACUUUCAACAACGGAUCUCUUGGUUCUG
Molecule: unclassified non-coding RNA, 283 nt
Filed under: plant metagenome
Description: partial contains small subunit ribosomal RNA, internal transcribed spacer 1, and 5.8S ribosomal RNA
Rfam family: Eukaryotic small subunit ribosomal RNA (bases 1-53)
Source: RNAcentral